This 212-nucleotide long non-coding RNA is filed under the name Prunus persica (peach). Its description in RNAcentral is "long non-coding RNA (PPER_LNC008687)". Lineage: Eukaryota; Viridiplantae; Streptophyta; Magnoliopsida; Rosales; Rosaceae. The record is from RNAcentral.
AAAGUAAUUAAAAAAGAAUAAGAUAUUACUUAAUUACAUAUAUUAAAUGAAGGAAGUUGGCCAAAAGAAAAAGUAAAGAAACUAAUUUUAUAUUUUAAAAUUUUAUACUUUUCCAAAAAAAAAAAAAAAAAACACAAGAACACUUCUCCCGACGAAAUUUCGUCGGCAAAGAUCUAUGCCGACAAAAUUUGCCGGAUUAGGUUUCCCCCGAC